UGUAUAAUGGGUCAGCGACUUAUAUUCUGUAGCAAGGUUAACCGAAUAGGGGAGCCGAAGGGAAACCGAGUCUUAACUGGGCGUUAAGUUGCAGGGUAUAGACCCGAAACCCGGUGAUCUAGCCAUGGGCAGGUUGAAGGUUGGGUAACACUAACUGGAGGACCGAACCGACUAAUGUUGAAAAAUUAGCGGAUGACUUGUGGCUGGGGGUGAAAGGCCAAUCAAACCGGGAGAUAGCUGGUUCUCCCCGAAAGCUAUUUAGGUAGCGCCUCGUGAAUUCAUCUCCGGGGGUAGAGCACUGUUUCGGCAAGGGGGUCAUCCCGACUUACCAACCCGAUGCAAACUGCGAAUACCGGAGAAUGUUAUCACGGGAGACACACGGCGGGUGCUAACGUCCGUCGUGAAGAGGGAAACAACCCAGACCGCCAGCUAAGGUCCCAAAGUCAUGGUUAAGUGGGAAACGAUGUGGGAAGGCCCAGACAGCCAGGAUGUUGGCUUAGAAGCAGCCAUCAUUUAAAGAAAGCGUAAUAGCUCACUGGUCGAGUCGGCCUGCGCGGAAGAUGUAACGGGGCUAAACCAUGCACCGAAGCUGCGGCAGCGACACUAUGUGUUGUUGGGUAGGGGAGCGUUCUGUAAGCCUGUGAAGGUGUACUGUGAGGUAUGCUGGAGGUAUCAGAAGUGCGAAUGCUGACAUAAGUAACGAUAAAGCGGGUGAAAAGCCCGCUCGCCGGAAGACCAAGGGUUCCUGUCCAACGUUAAUCGGGGCAGGGUGAGUCGACCCCUAAGGCGAGGCCGAAAGGCGUAGUCGAUGGGAAACAGGUUAAUAUUCCUGUACUUGGUGUUACUGCGAAGGGGGGACGGAGAAGGCUAUGUUGGCCGGGCGACGGUUGUCCCGGUUUAAGCGUGUAGGCUGGUUUUCCAGGCAAAUCCGGAAAAUCAAGGCUGAGGCGUGAUGACGAGGCACUACGGUGCUGAAGCAACAAAUGCCCUGCUUCCAGGAAAAGCCUCUAAGCAUCAGGUAACAUCAAAUCGUACCCCAAACCGACACAGGUGGUCAGGUAGAGAAUACCAAGGCGCUUGAGAGAACUCGGGUGAAGGAACUAGGCAAAAUGGUGCCGUAACUUCGGGAGAAGGCACGCUGAUAUGUAGGUGAAGUCCCUCGCGGAUGGAGCUGAAAUCAGUCGAAGAUACCAGCUGGCUGCAACUGUUUAUUAAAAACACAGCACUGUGCAAACACGAAAGUGGACGUAUACGGUGUGACGCCUGCCCGGUGCCGGAAGGUUAAUUGAUGGGGUUAGCGGUAACGCGAAGCUCUUGAUCGAAGCCCCGGUAAACGGCGGCCGUAACUAUAACGGUCCUAAGGUAGCGAAAUUCCUUGUCGGGUAAGUUCCGACCUGCACGAAUGGCGUAAUGAUGGCCAGGCUGUCUCCACCCGAGACUCAGUGAAAUUGAACUCGCUGUGAAGAUGCAGUGUACCCGCGGCAAGACGGAAAGACCCCGUGAACCUUUACUAUAGCUUGACACUGAACAUUGAGCCUUGAUGUGUAGGAUAGGUGGGAGGCUUUGAAGUGUGGACGCCAGUCUGCAUGGAGCCG
Molecule: ribosomal RNA, 1595 nt
Filed under: Escherichia coli
Lineage: Bacteria; Pseudomonadati; Pseudomonadota; Gammaproteobacteria; Enterobacterales; Enterobacteriaceae
Description: partial 23S ribosomal RNA
Rfam family: Bacterial large subunit ribosomal RNA
Source: RNAcentral